RNAcentral lists this ribosomal RNA (443 nucleotides) under Odus elachypteryx. RNAcentral describes it as "partial small subunit ribosomal RNA". Lineage: Eukaryota; Metazoa; Arthropoda; Insecta; Diptera; Asilidae. The record is from RNAcentral.
UUUUAAAACUAUGGAUAUGCCUAAUUUUAUUAGUUUAUUUCGUAAAUUUUAAUUUUUAAACUAGGAUUAGAUACCCUAUUAUUUUAAUAUGUAUUUUGUUAUGCCUAGGUAGUAUUAGUUAUGGUCUUGAAACUUAAAAAAUUUGGCGGUAUUUCAGUCUGUUCAGAGGAACCUGUUCUGUAAUCGAUAAUCCACGUUAAAUCUUGCUUGACCUUGUUUAUCAGUUUGUAUACCGCCGUUAUUGAGUAUUUUAUUAGAAUAAUAAUUUUCAAUUUCCUUUAUUUAAGGGUUAUAUCAGGUCAAGGUGCAGCUUAUGGUUAAGAUUGUAAUGGGUUACAAUAAAUUUAUUUAUAUGAAUAUUGAGUUUAAAUACUUGGUUGAAGGUGGAUUUGAUAGUAAAGCUAUCUAGAAUAAUAGUUUGAUUCUAGCUCUGGAAUAUGUAC